UGAAUUGUAGUUUGAAGAUGCAUUUGCCAAUGGACAUGAUAAUGAAAGCCUUUUGGGAAAAAGCAUCAACGAGGGUGAGAAUCCUUCUUGACAUUUCAAUUGUCCAUGUACGGUGUGCAUUGAAGAUUCACGUUCCUUGGGAUUUGAACGCAAACUUGUUGGUAAAUUUCAUUUAAAGCUAAAUAUUGGUUUGAGACCGAUAGAAAACAAGUACCAUGAGGGAAAAGUGAAAAGGACUUUGAAAAGAAAGUUAAAAGUGCUUGAAAUUGCUGAAGAGGAAGCGGGUGUAUUUCAAACACAAUUUUCAAGAUUGUUGUGCAUAUCUGUGAUUUCUUGUUGUUUUGACUUCAUCGCAGCAACAAGACUGAUCUGUGACUGCACAAUGUUGCUUGUGUUUUGUGCCAUCAUCGAUUCACAGCUAAAGAAACAGCCUGAAAAUGACGAUUUGCUCUUGUGCAAAUGAAUGUUUGGGUGUAGAUUUAGCUUGUGGACCGUCUGUCUUCCUGUUGUGUUGAUACCUUGGUGUCCACAACAUGAAAAU
Molecule: ribosomal RNA, 541 nt
Filed under: Pentaplacodinium lapazense
Lineage: Eukaryota; Dinophyceae; Gonyaulacales; Protoceratiaceae
Description: Pentaplacodinium sp. HGu-2022a partial large subunit ribosomal RNA
Rfam family: Eukaryotic large subunit ribosomal RNA
Source: RNAcentral